This 418-nucleotide ribosomal RNA is filed under the name uncultured bacterium. RNAcentral describes it as "bacterial SSU rRNA". It matches the Rfam family "Bacterial small subunit ribosomal RNA", at positions 329 to 745 of the family's 1533-position model. The record is from RNAcentral.
GACCAGACUCCUACGGGAGGCAGCAGUGAGGAAUAUUGGUCAAUGGGCGCGAGCCUGAACCAGCCAAGUCGCGUGAGGGAAGACGGUCCUAUGGAUUGUAAACCUCUUUUGUCGGGGAGCAAAAGACGCCACGCGUGGCGUUCCGAGAGUACCCGAAGAAAAAGCAUCGGCUAACUCCGUGCCAGCAGCCGCGGUAAUACGGAGGAUGCGAGCGUUAUCCGGAUUUAUUGGGUUUAAAGGGUGAGCAGGCGGAAUUUCAAGUCAGCGGUAAAAUUGAGGGGCUCAACCCCGGCGAGCCGUUGAAACUUGUGUUCUUGAGUGAGUGAGAAGGAUGCGGAAUGCGUGGUGUAGCGGUGAAAUGCAUAGAUAUCACGCAGAACUCCGAUUGCGAAGGCAGCAUACCGGCGCGCAACUGACG